RNAcentral lists this ribosomal RNA (491 nucleotides) under uncultured bacterium. Its description in RNAcentral is "partial 16S ribosomal RNA". It matches the Rfam family "Bacterial small subunit ribosomal RNA", at positions 29 to 507 of the family's 1533-position model. The record is from RNAcentral.
AUUGAACGCUGGCGGCAUGCUUUACACAUGCAAGUCGAGCGGUAACAGGCCUUCGGGUGCUGACGAGUGGCGAACGGGUGAGUAAUGCAUCGGAACGUGCCCAGAGGUGGGGAUAACGCAGCGAAAGCUGUGCUAAUACCGCAUGUGAUCUGAGGAUGAAAGCGGGGGACCAAGCAGCAAUGUUUGGCCUCGCGCCUCUGGAGCGGCCGAUGUCAGAUUAGGUAGUUGGUGGGGUAAAGGCCUACCAAGCCGACGAUCUGUAGCUGGUCUGAGAGGACGACCAGCCACACUGGGACUGAGACACGGCCCAGACUCCUACGGGAGGCAGCAGUGGGGAAUUUUGGACAAUGGGCGCAAGCCUGAUCCAGCAAUGCCGCGUGCGGGAAGAAGGCCUUCGGGUUGUAAACCGCUUUUGUACGGAACGAAAAGGCUCUGGCUAAUACCUGGGGCUGAUGACGGUACCGGAAGAAUAAGCACCGGCUAACUACGUG